This 305-nucleotide ribosomal RNA is filed under the name Salmonella enterica. Its description in RNAcentral is "partial 16S ribosomal RNA". It matches the Rfam family "Bacterial small subunit ribosomal RNA", at positions 1 to 302 of the family's 1533-position model. The record is from RNAcentral. Lineage: Bacteria; Pseudomonadati; Pseudomonadota; Gammaproteobacteria; Enterobacterales; Enterobacteriaceae.
AAAUUGAAGAGUUUGAUCAUGGCUCAGAUUGAACGCUGGCGGCAGGCCUAACACAUGCAAGUCGAACGGUAGCAGGAAGCAGCUUGCUGCUUUGCUGACGAGUGGCGGACGGGUGAGUAAUGUCUGGGAAACUGCCUGAUGGAGGGGGAUAACUACUGGAAACGGUGGCUAAUACCGCAUAACGUCGCAAGACCAAAGAGGGGGACCUUCGGGCCUCUUGCCAUCAGAUGUGCCCAGAUGGGAUUAGCUAGUUGGUGAGGUAACGGCUCACCAAGGCGACGAUCCCUAGCUGGUCUGAGAGGAUG